UUAGAUCCCUGGUAGUCCACGCCGUAAACGAUGAAUAUUAGGUUCGGAAAGCAAAGCUUUUCGGUGCCGCAGCAACGCAUUUAAUAUUUCCACCUGGGGAGUACGUUCGCAAGAAUGAAACUCAAAGGAAUGACGGGGGACCNGCACAAGCGGUGGAGCAUGUGGUNUAUUCGAAGCAACGCGAAGAACCUUANCAGGUCUUGACAUCCCUCUGACCGGGAUUUAAUCAUCCCUUUCCUUCGGGACAGAGGAGACAGGUGGUGCAUGGUUGUCGUCAGCUCGUGUCGUGAGAUGUUGGGUUAAGUCCCGCAACGAGCGCAACCCUUACCUUCAGUAGCCAGCGGUUCGGCCGGGCACUCUGGAGGGACUGCCAGGGAUAACCUGGAGGAAGGUGGGGAUGACGUCAAAUCAUCACGCCCCUUAUGAUCUGGGCUACACACGUGCUACAAUGGCGUAAACAAAGGGAAGCGAGACAGUGAUGGCAAGCAAAUCUCAGAAAUAACGUCUCAGUUCGGAUUGCAGUCUGCAACUCGACUGCAUGAAGCUGGAAUCGCUAGUAAUCGCGAAUCAGAAUGUCGCGGUGAAUACGUUCCCGGGUCUUGUACACACCGCCCGUCACACCAUGGGAGUUGACAACGCCCGAAGUCAGUGACCCAACCGAAAGGAGGGAGCUGCCGAAGGCGGGGUUGAUAACUGGGGUGAAGUCGUAACAA
This 713-nucleotide ribosomal RNA is filed under the name uncultured bacterium. RNAcentral describes it as "bacterial SSU rRNA". It matches the Rfam family "Bacterial small subunit ribosomal RNA", at positions 778 to 1494 of the family's 1533-position model. The record is from RNAcentral.